GCCCUUCGGGGAUAUCUCAGUUGGUAGAGCAUGAAAUUCUUAGAAUCAUAGAAUCAUAGAAUCAUAGAGUUGGAAGAGACCACAAGGGCCAAGCAGGAAACACCAUCAGAGCACUCCUGACAUAUGGUUGUCAAGCCUCUGCUUAAAGACCUCCAAAGAAGGAGACUCCACCACACUCCUUGGCAGCAAAUUCCACUGUCAGAACAGCUCUUACUGUCAGGAAGUUCUUCCUAAUGUUUAGGUGGAAUCUUCUUUCUUGUAGUUUGGAUCCAUUGUCCGCUUCUCUGGAGCAGCAGAAAACAACCUUUCUCCCUCCUCUAUGUGACAUCCUUUUAUAUAUUUGAACAUGGCUAUCAUAUCAGCCCUUAACCUCCUCUUCUCCAGGCUAAACAUGCCCUUAAUCUCAAGGUUGUGGGUUCAAGCCCCACAUUGGGCA
Molecule: non-coding RNA, 436 nt
Organism: Podarcis lilfordi (Lilford's wall lizard)
Lineage: Eukaryota; Metazoa; Chordata; Lepidosauria; Squamata; Lacertidae
Source: the annotation of a GenBank genome assembly